This 74-nucleotide transfer RNA is filed under the name Myotis lucifugus (little brown bat). It matches the Rfam family "tRNA". Rfam says of the family: Transfer RNA (tRNA) molecules are approximately 80 nucleotides in length. Their secondary structure includes four short double-helical elements and three loops (D, anti-codon, and T loops). The record is from Rfam by way of RNAcentral. Lineage: Eukaryota; Metazoa; Chordata; Mammalia; Chiroptera; Vespertilionidae.
GGCCAGAUGGCUCAGUUGGUUGGAGCAUUGUCUUGUACACCAAAAGGUUGCAGGUUCAACUCCCAGUCUGGGCA